GAUGAACGCUGGCGGCGUGCCUAAUACAUGCAAGUCGAGCGAACGGACGAGAAGCUUGCUUCUCUGAUGUUAGCGGCGGACGGGUGAGUAACACGUGGAUAACCUACCUAUAAGACUGGGAUAACUUCGGGAAACCGGAGCUAAUACCGGAUAAUAUUUUGAACCGCAUGGUUCAAAAGUAAAAGACGGUCUUGCUGUCACUUAUAGAUGGAUCCGCGCUGCAUUAGCUAGUUGGUAAGGUAACGGCUUACCAAGGCAACGAUGCAUAGCCGACCUGAGAGGGUGAUCGGCCACACUGGAACUGAGACACGGUCCAGACUCCUACGGGAGGCAGCAGUAGGGAAUCUUCCGCAAUGGGCGAAAGCAUGACGGAGCAACGCCGCGUGAGUGAUGAAGGUCUUCGGAUCGUAAAACUCUGUUAUUAGGGAAGAACAUAUGUGUAAGUAACUGUGCACAUCUUGACGGUACCUAAUCAGAAGGCCACGGCUAACUACGUG
This 497-nucleotide ribosomal RNA is filed under the name uncultured bacterium. RNAcentral's name for it is "partial 16S ribosomal RNA". It matches the Rfam family "Bacterial small subunit ribosomal RNA", at positions 28 to 507 of the family's 1533-position model. The record is from RNAcentral.